Molecule: ribosomal RNA, 706 nt
Filed under: uncultured bacterium
Lineage: Bacteria
Description: bacterial SSU rRNA
Rfam family: Bacterial small subunit ribosomal RNA
Source: RNAcentral
AGAGUUUGAUCAUGGCUCAGAACGAACGCUGGCGGCAUGCCUAACACAUGCAAGUCGAACGAGACCUUCGGGUCUAGUGGCGCACGGGUGCGUAACGCAUGGGAAUCUGCCCUUGGGUUCGGAAUAACAGUGAGAAAUUACUGCUAAUACCGGAUGAUGUCUUCGGACCAAAGAUUUAUUGCCCAGGGAUGAGCCCGCGUAGGAUUAGCUAGUUGGUGGGGUAAUGGCCUACCAAGGCGACGAUCCUUAGCUGGUCUGAGAGGAUGAUCCGCCACACUGGGACUGAGACACGGCCCAGACUCCUACGGGAGGCAGCAGUGGGGAAUAUUGGACAAUGGGCGAAAGCCUGAUCCAGCAAUGCCGCGUGAGUGAUGAAGGCCUUAGGGUUGUAAAGCUCUUUUACCAGGGAUGAUAAUGACAGUACCUGGAGAAUAAGCUCCGGCUAACUCCGUGCCAGCAGCCGCGGUAAUACGGAGGGAGCUAGCGUUGUUCGGAAUUACUGGGCGUAAAGCGCGCGUAGGCGGUUACUCAAGUCAGAGGUGAAAGCCCGGGGCUCAACCCCGGAACUGCCUUUGAAACUAGGUGACUAGAAUCUUGGAGAGGUCAGUGGAAUUCCGAGUGUAGAGGUGAAAUUCGUAGAUAUUCGGAAGAACACCAGUGGCGAAGGCGACUGACCGGACAAGUAUUGACGCUGAGGUGCGAAAGC